GGACUACUGGGGUUUCUAAUCCCAUUCGCUCCCCUGGCUUUCGUUCCUCAGUGUCAGUUACAGCCCAGCAAGCCGCUUACGCCACUGGUGUUCUUCCCAAUAUCUACGCAUUUCACCGCUACACUGGGAAUUCCGCUUGCCUCUACUGCACUCCAGUCUGCCAGUAUCCAAUGCACCUCCGAAGUUGGGCCUCGGGAUUUAACAUCGGACUUGACAAACCACCUACGAACUCUUUACGCCCAAUAAAUCCGGACAACGCUCGCAUCCUACGUCUUACCGCGGCUGCUGGCAC
RNAcentral lists this ribosomal RNA (292 nucleotides) under uncultured bacterium. RNAcentral's name for it is "partial 16S ribosomal RNA". The record is from RNAcentral.